This 437-nucleotide ribosomal RNA is filed under the name uncultured bacterium. Its description in RNAcentral is "partial 16S ribosomal RNA". It matches the Rfam family "Bacterial small subunit ribosomal RNA", at positions 29 to 507 of the family's 1533-position model. The record is from RNAcentral.
AGCGAACGCUGGCGGCAGGCUUAACACAUGCAAGUCGAGCGGGCAUCCUUGUGGUGUCAGCGGCAGACGGGUGAGUAACGCGUGGGAACGUGCCCUUCGGUUCGGAAUAACUCAGGGAAACUUGAGCUAAUACCGGAUACGUGCGAGAGCAGAAAGGUUUAUCUGCCGAAGGAUCGGCCCGCGUCUGAUUAGCUAGUUGGUGAGGUUAUGGCUCACCAAGGCGACGAUCAGUAGCUGGUCUGAGAGGAUGAUCAGCCACACUGGGACUGAGACACGGCCCAGACUCCUACGGGAGGCAGCAGUGGGGAAUAUUGGACAAUGGGGGCAACCCUGAUCCAGCCAUGCCGCGUGAGUGAUGACGGCCUUAGGGUUGUAAAGCUCUUUUCUUCGGGACGAUAACGACGGUACCGGAGGAAUAAGCCCCGGCUAACUUCGUG